RNAcentral lists this ribosomal RNA (496 nucleotides) under uncultured Paracoccus sp. RNAcentral describes it as "bacterial SSU rRNA". It matches the Rfam family "Bacterial small subunit ribosomal RNA", at positions 1 to 524 of the family's 1533-position model. Lineage: Bacteria; Pseudomonadati; Pseudomonadota; Alphaproteobacteria; Rhodobacterales; Paracoccaceae. The record is from RNAcentral.
UAGAGUUUGAUCAUGGCUCAGAUUGAACGCUGGCGGCAGGCUUAACACAUGCAAGUCGAGCGAGAUCUUCGGAUCUAGCGGCGGACGGGUGAGUAACGCGUGGGAACGUACCCUUUGCUACGGAAUAGCCUCGGGAAACUGGGAGUAAUACCGUAUGUGCCCUUCGGGGGAAAGAUUUAUCGGCAAAGGAUCGGCCCGCGUUGGAUUAGGUAGUUGGUGGGGUAAUGGCCUACCAAGCCGACGAUCCAUAGCUGGUUUGAGAGGAUGAUCAGCCACACUGGGACUGAGACACGGCCCAGACUCCUACGGGAGGCAGCAGUGGGGAAUCUUAGACAAUGGGCGCAAGCCUGAUCUAGCCAUGCCGCGUGCAGGACGAAGGCCUUCGGGUUGUAAACUGCUUUUGUACAGAACGAAAAGGACUGGGUUAAUACCCUGGUCAUAUGACGGUACUGUAAGAAUAAGCACCGGCUAACUCUGUGCCAGCAGCCGCGGUAAU